CCAGGUCAAAGGAUGCAGGGGGCAACAGUGUUGGACAUUGGUGGUCCAAAAUUAGGGUUAAACCAUGGUUUAAAAUGAUUUAAUCCCUGAAGGUAAGCUUUAAUGAGCGGGAGUUGUUAUUGGGGUGGAUAUUUUCCCUUGUAUUAUUAACAAAGCAAUAUUAUGUGAGGAAAUACCUUGAAUUACACAGGAUCAUUUAAUUCUCUUAUGAUAAAGAUAUGUUUUGCUUUCUAC
Non-coding RNA from Pelobates cultripes (western spadefoot toad), 234 nucleotides. The record is from the annotation of a GenBank genome assembly. Lineage: Eukaryota; Metazoa; Chordata; Amphibia; Anura; Pelobatidae.